AGGGACUCACAAUAGAUACCACCA
Molecule: non-coding RNA, 24 nt
Filed under: Arabidopsis thaliana (thale cress)
Lineage: Eukaryota; Viridiplantae; Streptophyta; Magnoliopsida; Brassicales; Brassicaceae
Source: RNAcentral